UACAGAGGUCUCAAGCGUUGUUCGGAUUCAUUGGGCGUAAAGGGUGCGUAGGCGGGUCUUUAAGUCCGGGGUGAAAUCCUGGAGCUCAACUCCAGAACUGCCUUUGAUACUGAAGAUCUUGAGUUCGGGAGAGGUGAGUGGAACUGCGAGUGUAGAGGUGAAAUUCGUAGAUAUUCGCAAGAACACCAGUGGCGAAGGCGGCUCACUGGCCCGGUACUGACGCUGAGGUGCGAAAGCGUGGGGAGCAAACAGG
This 253-nucleotide ribosomal RNA is filed under the name uncultured bacterium. Its description in RNAcentral is "partial 16S ribosomal RNA". It matches the Rfam family "Bacterial small subunit ribosomal RNA", at positions 524 to 776 of the family's 1533-position model. The record is from RNAcentral.